AGUACAUUGAUUAUGCCAUUGUUUUUCUCGUUUGAAUUGUUUUACAUUUGUCAAUUCGGGCCCUUUAUUGCUAACAAUGCGAUAAGGGCUUUGCUUAUUGUUGAAUGCCGUACGGUGACCUAUAGUUAUAAUGUAUUUGUAAUAGUUGGUCUUUUGUGGAGAUUUGUCUAAUUGGCAAUCGACACGUACCUACAUGUAAAGUAAUGAAAUUAUCAAUACUUUUACCUUUAUGAUUAGCUAUGUUUUAGCAUUUUAACAUUUUUAUCUGUACAUAUUUCUAGGAUUUAGUGCUUGUGCAUAAUAAAACGGACUUAUCUUGCUGGAAAUCCCACUUCCACCUCAUCGUGGGUGAGUAGGGGACCAAGAC
RNAcentral lists this long non-coding RNA (367 nucleotides) under Mytilus galloprovincialis (Mediterranean mussel). The record is from RNAcentral. Lineage: Eukaryota; Metazoa; Mollusca; Bivalvia; Mytilida; Mytilidae.